AGAUUGAAAGGGAUCUUUGCAAACACAAUCACGUUCUUAAAUGGAAAUGCGGGGCUUUAAACAAAUCUUACAUCUCUCCGGUUCCAGUCGCCUAAAAGUCCGCAAUCAGGCGCAUGUUCCACUCUUUCUAAAACCGAAGCUUUUUGUAAGCUUUUUCAGGCAUCACUCUUUAUUUUAAUUAUUUACCUGAAUGCAUUUUUUUUUAUCUCACGCGCGUGUUUAUGUUGUUCUCGUCUCUCACAUGGCACUGCUCUCUGUUUGUAGGCUACAGUGGGACGCACUGUACGAUUUAUUGAUUUCAAUCCAUGGACUAGAGCACGAUUUAACGAGUUCCAAACCUUCCAUCUAACUCCGUGACGGGCUUGAAAGCAUCAGGCUUGGGAUGCCUAAGCCCCUUCUCAGCUUCUGUCUACCUGUCUGCUGGGGUGUUGGUGCCUGGGCUUCAACCAUCAGCCCUAACCUGUGUGGCUUCCUGUCCGUCCACAGAGGGACCCAAUCCUCUACUUUGAAUUCAAAGGGGCCUGAAGACAACACAGCUUCACGCAGGCUCAGCAACACACAGGUUAUGACCCCAACAGGACAUACCAUGCCACCCGGCGGGCUGAGUUGUUACACACUACACGUGCGCGCAUGUGUGUGUGUAAGCCACAGGUGGUUGGUGACACCUUAAUUUGGGAGGAUGGGCUCGUGGUUAGAGCUGGAGCAGAAUCAUGGUUUCCAUGUGUUUGAUGUGCUGAGCUGUCCUCCCCUCAGCAGCCUCCGCUGGUGUAAGCAUGUUGCCCCCUGCCGAAUGUCCAUCCGCCCUGCGUCUCCCCCUCAGCCCACCCAUCCUUCCUCUCUACCUAUCCCCCCUUUCAUCCUCUGUCUCUUUUCUUCAUACUGGACCGGAAUAUGAACGCGCAAAUGUUUGCUGUGUUUAAAUAUUUACAUACUGUAGAUUUUAGUAAGAAGACAUGUGGAUUUUCCCGAGUACACAAUUCAAAAUAUGUUUUUUUUAUCAUAGGAGGAUUGUGUCUCUGUUGAAAUUUGGGUACCCCAAAAAAUGAAUUAAAAAAAUCUCUCAGUUUAGAAGAGGUUAGUAGCAGGUGAGGAAAACGUUUUGAAAAAACAAAAGCUGUAGAAUGUAUGUGAAUCAAUGAGAUGUGACUAUUUUCCAUUUGACUAUUGCAUAGUUCUUUGUUGGUAACAUCAAUUGAUACUAUUCACAAUGGAAGACAACAAGUUGAAUGUAACAAUAGUGUACAAACCUACUUAUCAGGCAGCGUAGCCUAGUGGUUAGAGCAUUGGACUGGUAACCAAAAGGUUGCAAGUUCAAAUCCCUGAGUUGACAAGGUUAAAAAUCUGUUGUUUUGCCCAUGAACAGGCAGUUAACCCACUGUUCCUAGGCUGUCAUUGAAAAUAACAAUUUGUUCUUAUUAACUGAUUUGCCUAGUUAAAAAAAAAUAUUGCAUACAUGAGUUAACAUGUGACUAUUUGUCUUUUGGUUUAUUAGUUAUUCUCUUUCUAUAAUCAUGUAAUCAGAUUGAUCCUCGUGUACCAUUAUAGAGGGAUAUUAUUUAAGCUGAAUGUCUUUGCCCUACAGUCCUUUGAGUGUCAAUAAAGGUUCAAGUAGUGGAUUUAACAUGUUCAGACUAUCUUGAUCACAUUUUGUUUUUAAUUUACCUUUAAGAAAUACUGUGCUUAAUAAAAACAUGCAUCAAUAAAAGCCGGGAUAACGAACCAACAACAUGCAGUAUAACAAACCCAUUAAGAAAGUUAAGGUAGACUUCUUACAAUACGUAAUUCCCAGCAGCUGAGAGAGAGAUAGAGAUAGAGAGAGAGACAGAGAC
Oncorhynchus gorbuscha (pink salmon) is the source of this 1829-nucleotide long non-coding RNA. RefSeq lists it as uncharacterized. The record is from RefSeq and is a predicted model, not a curated record. NCBI's taxonomy places the organism in Eukaryota, Metazoa, Chordata, Actinopteri, Salmoniformes, Salmonidae. The transcript has 3 exons.